UGUGUGUCUGUGUGUUGAGUGUGAGUGUGUAUGUGUGUGUAGGGGUCGGGGUGGGGGGGUCCGUGUUCGCGAUCUGAACCUUUGGUACCUACAAGGAGGGUGUCUCACCGAACGGUAGCUAAGACCUCACCAGGACCGCGCGAAGUGAGGAGUCGCGUCCAAAGGCGCCCGCCGGAGCCUCGUCUCUGGGCCGGACCCCAACCCGAGCGGCCGAAAGGAACCCCCCGCCCGGAUCACAGAAAAGAGCAGAAAGGAUGGGGGGAGGGGGGAACGAGAUCGAAGUAGAAGGAAGGCGAGACCCGACGCAUUCCAGCCCCUCUUUCCUU
This 326-nucleotide long non-coding RNA is filed under the name Physeter macrocephalus (sperm whale). Its description in RNAcentral is "Physeter catodon (sperm whale) lncRNA (ENSPCTG00005010481.1)". The record is from RNAcentral. Lineage: Eukaryota; Metazoa; Chordata; Mammalia; Artiodactyla; Physeteridae.